RNAcentral lists this transfer RNA (72 nucleotides) under Camelus bactrianus (Bactrian camel). It matches the Rfam family "tRNA". Rfam says of the family: Transfer RNA (tRNA) molecules are approximately 80 nucleotides in length. Their secondary structure includes four short double-helical elements and three loops (D, anti-codon, and T loops). The record is from Rfam by way of RNAcentral. Lineage: Eukaryota; Metazoa; Chordata; Mammalia; Artiodactyla; Camelidae. RNAcentral also lists the same sequence under 1 other name.
GACAGUGUAGCUCAAUGGUAGACUGUGUGUUUGGCAUGCACGAGGUCCUGGGUACAAUUCCCGGUACCGCCA